Molecule: long non-coding RNA, 356 nt
Filed under: Nicotiana benthamiana
Lineage: Eukaryota; Viridiplantae; Streptophyta; Magnoliopsida; Solanales; Solanaceae
Description: long non-coding RNA (NBEN_LNC010459)
Source: RNAcentral
UUGUUUCAGCCAUCUAAGCCACCCAUUUUUCUCUAGAUCUCAUUGUUCUAAAACCCUCAAAACCAGCUAUUAAACCAACUCCAUAACCAUGAUCUCAAAGUUUGCUCCAACGAAACAACCACAACACUACUGUAUAGGGUAAAAUUUGGCUCCCAACGUCCCUACGUAAAGUGGGUACGUUAAUUGUGCUAAGGCCAACCUGAGUGAGGGCACGACCCUGCCAAUAAAACAAAGGCAACGUUGUUUGGGGGCUUACUUAUUCGGUAAGAAGAAGCCACCUACCUUUGUACUUUUUCUUUGAUUAUUUUGAGGAAGGUCUCCUACUAUAUAAAGGAGACCUUCAUAUUGUAAUGGGG